ACUUGGGGGUACACAAGACAAAUCAGACUCCUGAAAGGGGUACAGUAGUCUGGAAAGGUUGAGAGCCACUCCUCUAGCUCUUGGUGGUAUGACCACCUGCACAAUGCUGUGGGGAAGAGUAACUUUGUACUGUUCCUUACUUCUAACAGAGGAAUAACAUUCCCACCCUCUGUCCAGAAAGCUAUUUGCAACAGUGUUCUGCUGAAAUAAGCCAGCAGUGACCCGCGUCAUCAGAACAGCCAGGCUGAGCAACAACUUUGAUGAAUGAACCAUCUAACUGAAAGAAGCCCCUUAUCUGGUCUAUGUUAUCCUCCCAUACAUUGGUUACCUGACUGUUUCCCCACAUACAUUUUAAUAUCUUUUAGUGCUGGUGAGAAGGGUUUGCCGGCCUAGGAAGCAGUUGUGCAAGACUCCCCCAACUCUAUUCAGUCAACACGUUUCACCUUGGGAGUAACCUGCCGCCUCCUGGAGGGCUCCAGGAAUGCACCAAGAAAAGUCAGAUGCAUCAUUGGCCGUGCUUGGAGCCUGUCUGAAACAAGGCUACACUUAGACUUCGCCACUACCAUGGGUAAGGAAAUACAGGGCAUGAUAUUGGAGGCAGCUGGCACCCUGCUAAUGCCCAAGGAGAAGCUUACGAGAUUUCUCACAGCUACAUCCCUUAAGAAGAGGUACUUGCCAAGAGGAACAGAUUCAGGGAUCAUCAUCUUUGGUGCCCCUAUACUAACUACAGGGGUGAAGGAGGAGCAUCUACCACCUUGACUCGUUCAUUGGGACCGAGCAGACUUCUAGAACAAGUUGCUGACAGCCACCAAACCCACUUCCACGUGUACAUGACCAUCUUUAGCUAAGUGAGGAGUUGAAUAGGAGUUCAAGACAGGGUGUAUUACUUGCACUGACAUGAUACAGUCCUGCUUUAAGAAUCCUGUAUUAGAGACUGCUGCCAUUGUCUUGAUUCUUAAUGUUACCCUCUCAUUGUACAAUUAAAUCAGAGUUGAAAACCAGGGGCUGUGUGAAAGUAUGGCUCUAAAGGGUUUCAUAGUGCUUAGUUCAGGGCAAGAUGACUAUACCUGUAAAACAAGGUUUUUAAGUCUAUUUACUUUCAGCCCUGCUGUAGGAAGUCUUUCACUCUUAGUAAUCUGUCUGUGUGUUCAUUUAUGGAAGACUUACUGUCUUCACGUAACCCUUAAGCAAAUGAAGUACAUAGCUGAGCAACUCACUUAACCAGCUGUGCAAAGUCUCCAAGGUCCUUGCAUAGCACUGUCAAUAUGCCGCACCC
This is a non-coding RNA of Chrysemys picta bellii (western painted turtle), 1276 nucleotides long. NCBI's taxonomy places the organism in Eukaryota, Metazoa, Chordata, Testudines, Emydidae. The record is from RefSeq and is a predicted model, not a curated record.